Molecule: long non-coding RNA, 394 nt
Organism: Nerophis ophidion (straightnose pipefish)
Lineage: Eukaryota; Metazoa; Chordata; Actinopteri; Syngnathiformes; Syngnathidae
Exons: 4
Source: RefSeq, a predicted model, not a curated record
CUGCUCACAAUGUUUGAGCUUCAGUCAGUCAGCCCUUUUUUUGACAUGCUGCUAAGAGGAAGGAAGACAGCUCCUGUGUGGACUCAGAAGACACAACUGAAGCCCGGCACAAGGAGGGACCCUUAAGAAGUGUCAUUGGAUUAGCCAGCUGGCAUCUGCCUUCAGUCGGAUAGCAACACCUUGAGAGGAUGAAGCAUGUGAAGAUAGCACAUCUGCCGCUGGUCUUCGCCUUUCUGCACGCCUGCUUUGCUCAAGCAGACUUUGCCCCGUACUUCUUUGACAAUGGACCGUACAGCCAGAACGGGAACAUGGCCCUGUUCAGUCUCUCAGAGGACACACCUGUUGGUGAGCAGGACUCACACAGCAAAAUGUAUCUUUAUUAUUGUGCUUUACC